GCCUCGGUAGGCGCAGUAGGCAGCCGUCAGUCUCAUAAUCUGAAGGUCGUGAGUUCGAUCCUCACCCGGGCA
Molecule: transfer RNA, 72 nt
Filed under: Trichonephila inaurata madagascariensis
Lineage: Eukaryota; Metazoa; Arthropoda; Arachnida; Araneae; Nephilidae
Description: tRNA-Met
Rfam family: tRNA
About the family: Transfer RNA (tRNA) molecules are approximately 80 nucleotides in length.
Source: RNAcentral